GCCUUCGUGGUGUAGUGGUUAGCACGCUCGACGCGUAUUCGAGAGGUCCAUGGUUCGAGUCCUGGCGAAGGCU
Molecule: non-coding RNA, 73 nt
Organism: Stegodyphus mimosarum
Lineage: Eukaryota; Metazoa; Arthropoda; Arachnida; Araneae; Eresidae
Source: Rfam